GACGAACCGUGCGAACGUUGUUCGGAAUCACUGGGCUUAAGGGGCGCGUAGGCGGGCUGACAAGUCGGAGGUGAAAUCCCACGGCUCAACCGUGGAAUAGCCCCCGAUACUGCCAGCCUUGAGGGAGAUAGGGGCGUGCGGAACUUCCGGUGGAGCGGUGAAAUGCGUAGAUAUCGGAAGGAACAUCAGUGGCGAAAGCGACUUCCUGGACCAGUACCGACGUUCAGGCACGAAAGCGUGGGGAGCAAACAGG
Molecule: ribosomal RNA, 253 nt
Filed under: uncultured bacterium
Lineage: Bacteria
Description: partial 16S ribosomal RNA
Rfam family: Bacterial small subunit ribosomal RNA
Source: RNAcentral